Thunnus maccoyii (southern bluefin tuna) is the source of this 4264-nucleotide long non-coding RNA. RefSeq lists it as uncharacterized. The record is from RefSeq and is a predicted model, not a curated record. Lineage: Eukaryota; Metazoa; Chordata; Actinopteri; Scombriformes; Scombridae. The transcript is spliced from 6 exons.
AAGAGAGUCUACACUGAAAUCUGCUGAGCGGGAACUUUUAAAAGUGGACAUGCCAAAACACCACAAGAGACCCAGGAAACCCAAAUGCCUCUUCUUUAACAAUGAGGAUUUCAGUUGGAAUUGACCAAAGAAAACACUACCAUUUACACAGGCUACUGCCUUCUCAUUCUUUCAUUUAGACAAUGCAUUAGUUUGCAUUACUUAGUACUGCUUUGAAAUAGUUUUUCUGUUUAUAGAGCCACACCAUAUGUCAAAGUUAUGUAACAUGAUUAUUUUUUUAAUUCAUUAGGAAUUGAAACUUGAGAGUGGCCUCAAAACUGGAACUGGUAUCAUAUAAGAGUAUUUGUGUAUUGGUUCAUCUGUAAAACUUCCACCAGUCACUUUUGCUAUAGUGGUUAUAUAAAUUUAGGACUUGAAACCUUCAGUGACUAAAGAUUUUUCUGUGUUGUAUUUAGAGUGAGCUGUCAUCUGAUCAUCUGUGCUGAACAGAUUCCUUCAUCUGCCACAGUGAGAGCCACCACUAUCUAACCCAGCAGGUCCAAACCUUCAGGUGCGCAAGGAAGAAAACGGAGAAAAAAGGAGGAGGAAAAGAAAGCCCAAUAUAGAGAUGCUCUCAGGAAACAUCUGCAGAAGCCUCCAGCUGCUGGAGAAGUUACAUCUGAUCUCCCAUCUACACCAAACUCUGAAGCAGUUUGAAUACAGCUUCAGGUCAAAAACAUCUAACAUGAUAUCAAACACUCCAGCUACCUGCAGUGAAACACAGCCUGCAGCAGAUUUGCCUGCAGGUGAAGGAACAACAAGCACAACAUUCACUGCUACUCUACAGCCUGCAGACACCAUCAACUGGAACAUAUCCUGAAGUAUGUGAGUCCAUCAAGGCAGCAGCUAUAGAUCCUGUCUGAUAUGAUGAGGACGGAGUUAGUCAGCAGAGAUCAUAUCAGGUAAAAUAAGACUCUACAUUUCCACAAUGACAGGAUGGGAGAAGUUCCCAUCACUACCACUUUUACAGAAAAUUAGUGAAUGGAGAGAAAAUCAAGAGAAGUUGGGUGUUAUAUUCCAAGGAAAAAAGUCUUUACUGCUUCUGCUGCAAGCUGUUCUCACAAAAAGCUACAAACUAAUCAGUAAUGGACUUAAUGACUGGAAAAGUUGCACUGAAAUACUCAAAACCCAGAGGAACAGUCCAGAACAUUCUGGGUACAUGACAUCUAUCCAGUGUAAUCUAUAAAUAACCAAGUGCCAGUGUCUUGGAUGUUACUAACAGGUAGUUGGUAGUUGGGCACCAAAUCCUAAUCUCACCUAGGGAACUGAAAUGGCUAGAGAAGGCCCUUCAUCCUCCUCACUCGACAAAAGAAGAGGAGAUUUUGGGUACAUCCCACUUUAUAAGGUAGAGAAAGAGAAGGAGAGUUCCACUGCCUCAUACAGGAGCUGAAGCUCUUCCAUGGCCAGUUCCAGACAUAUUUUAGGAUGCCGGUGGGACAGUUUGACGUCCUCCUGGGGAUGAUAGUGCCACAUCACCAACUACCGGGAUCUUAUUGACCCAGAGCAGCAUCUGUCAGUCUGUCUGAGAUUUUGUUUAUUAGGCCAAGAUGAAAACCUCCUCCCACCUCCCCCAGAUUCCUCAGCACUGGGGGUUCUUUUACAACCAUCACCUCCAGUUUCCGUCUUGAUGUGUCAACUGUAGCCAAUUUGUUGAAAGACAACUGUGAUGUCAUCUGGGCACAAAUGAGGGAAACCCAGAUGCCAGUCUCAACGGAGGAGCUCUGGAGGAACCCCGCCAGGAGGUUCCAGGAGAAAUGGAAUUUCUCUAAUUUUAUCAGUGCACUUGAUGGGAAGCAUGUAGUAUUAAGGCACCAGCUAAUUCUGGCUCCCGUUUUUAUAAUUAUAAGGGCACCUUCUCUGUGGUCCUCCUCACUCUGGUGGAUGUGGACUACCAGUUUCUGGCUGUCGAUGUGGGAGGCUCCGGCAGCAACAGCGAUGGAGGCAUCUUCACGAAUGCCACUCUAGGACAAGCCCUUCAACCUGGUACCUUGAAUGUACCAGCACCAUGCCCCUUUCCUCAGCACCAGAGUUGGGACUGGUGGCAUUUGUGAUAGUAACAGAUGAGGCUUUUCCAAUGAAAACCUUUCUCCUUCAUCCCAGUCCUGGGAAACAUCUGCCAGAGGAUUACCGGGUGUUCAACUACCGCCUCUCCAGAGCACGACGCAUUGCUGAGAAUGGUGUUGGCAUUCUGCUGGAGAGCGUAUCAGAGUGUAUAAGAGCUUUUAUAAUACAUCUAUGUUUGCUGUCAACAAUUUAUGAUGGUUUGGGCAUGGUUUGAAGCAAUGGUAGAGUCCAAACUACGGUUCCUCCUCCAAAACACGCCCACUUGUACAGGAAGACAAUAUACUAUAGCAGAAAAUUAAAUUGAAAAUGUUAUCAAAGUUGCAAUAAACGACAUCCAGCCCCACUAGAUGUCACACUAGCACCAGCACUUCAGACCAAAACAAAUAUGUGUAUCGUUUACUCAGUAAAGUUGGGGGGGGGGGGGGCGAACACACAGCUCACAAAACUCAGAUCAAACUGUCAAGCUAGGCACUGGUGAUCAAAUAUGCAUCAAGAUUCUGAUACUGCAUUGCCUAUUUCUCGCCUUAAAUGUUUUCAGAAACAUGUUUUACUGUUUUUGUAAUUUGAGAAAGUUUGUGACAAGUUCAAGUUGGAAACGGACACAGUGAAUGGCCGAGAUAAACGUCAUCACAUUUUGAACGCGCUCUCUUCAGUGGCUCUCUUCAGCCCAUGAACCCUAUUUGGACGUUCAACGUCCUUCAUGUUCAUGCUGCGACUGCAACUUGACGUACUUCCCAUGUUGUGGUAGCAACUUCCAGUUAAAGUGUGGUGCCUUCCGGAUACAUACAUACUCAACCAUACAAAUACGUACAUACUUAUGCACACACAUACAUACAUUCUCACUCAUACAUAUAUACACACACACACACACAAAAAUGUAUGUACAUAUAUGUAUAUGCAUGAGAGUGUGCAUGUAUGCAAAAGUGCUUAGUACCGGUAUAUAGGUAUAUAUGUAUGUGCAAGUGAAGUAUUCUUUUUUGGCCUAGUCGGCCUCUCAUAAAAACCUCAUUAUACUUGACCUCAUGACAAACGUGAGCCCAGAGCAGCAGCAGCACCCACAUCUUUUCACUUCCUGAUUUCAUUUUCUCUGUCUGGUAAAUGAUAGUCUGCAUGGUUUCCACACACCGUUAGACUGCUUCCCUGUUUUGUCAGUGUAUUGUAUGUACAUCUUUACUUGGUUAGACCUAAAUAAUGUGAUUAAUUUAGUAAAUGAAUCAAUAAGCAUUGCUUUAUGAAAAGCUAGCUAUAAUCCAAGUGUUUUCUUGUCUUACCUAUCAUUUGAAAGGCAACAGUAGGCUAUCAGUGGCAGUACUGGCUGGUGCCCUGUAGGUGAACUUUCAUCCCAUCAUUAUUAGAGAUAUGUAUCAUUUGAAUCUUAGCUACAACCUACUACUACUCUUAUGAAAGCUCAUUAUUGGUAUUAUUGGUCUGGUAGUUAAUCAAUACUCUUUGCAGUUCAGGACAAGAUUAGAUUUUAUUUGUAUUUUAAAUAAAAUGUUUGGUCUCCAGAGCAACAAUGUUUUAAAAAGGAAAGUCAAUAACAAUAGUCUGUUUUACUGGAUACAAGACAAAAAUCUAAAUAAAAUAAGUAUGCUAAUAUCUGCCGAGCAACGUAUCAGUCGGGCUCUAGUUUAAUGUGAACUAAACAACUAAAUUAGUCCUGCCCAGCUCCUCUGCUUUUCUGCUUCUCAUAUCCAGUAAAGUCUCCUGCCGUUUGCUGCCCCAGCCCACACCCAGCCAGAUCCCGUGUCGUCAGCCCACCCCACUGAUGUCCAGCCAAUUCUCCAACCCGCUGACACCCAGUCAGAACUCCAGCUGCACAAUUAAUGCCUCGGCCCUGUCAUGUUUCCUUUGCCCUUUUUGCCUCUGUCCCUGUCUUCGGCCCCACCCUCUCUUCUCUUGUCUUUGCCAUUCUCCACCUGUCCACAAGUUCCCCCCUGGACUUUCCUGCCUGGUUCCAUCACCCACCUGCUCCCCUCUUGCUAUUCUCCUUGUGUUGUCUUCACCUGCUGCUCAUUACCCCAUCAGUCCCAGUACUAUAUAUACACCGAUCCUCCGUUAUCCAUUCCCUGCCGUAGUCAAUGACUACGUUUACAUGCACAAAAUAUACCAGUUUUUGCCCUUAUUCCGAAAAAGACAAUACUCCUACUAAGCUGUUUAC